Molecule: long non-coding RNA, 1648 nt
Organism: Manis pentadactyla (Chinese pangolin)
Lineage: Eukaryota; Metazoa; Chordata; Mammalia; Pholidota; Manidae
Exons: 2
Source: RefSeq, a predicted model, not a curated record
UCCUGGGCGCCACCCUGCCUGGUUUGGUGGCAUUAGCAUAAGGAAGUUGCUCCUAUAGGCUUGCAUGAUCUUGAUCACCAUAGGCCAGCUUCCUUUAUAUAAGGCGUAAGCAGGAAAGAGAAGCACUCUCUCACUCUUUCUCUCUCUCACUCACUCUCACUCUCCCACUCUCUCAAUCUCUGUCUCCCUCUCUCCCCUCAUUCUUCCUCUCAUUCACUCCCCCCGGCUGUUGCUUCUUCUCACUCACCUUCUCCCGGCCUUCCGAGCAACAGUAAAGAACUGAAGUGAACCAGGUCUGUGUACGUAUUGCUGUCGUCAUUGCCACAAGGGGCGAACGCGGUAUCUGGUGCCCAAACACAGGAGUUUUUCUCCAACCACCCAGAGGAGAAACUGGCGGACGCGGACGCCAUAGAGCUUCUUACCCUGAAGCAGUACCUGUGGACCCCAUUCGGAAGGAUUGCUCGGGAAGGCGCCUCAGAUGAGAAGGGACCGAAACAAUCCCAUCUGGGUGCCUGAACGCCUGACACGGAGAGUGGCAAGACCAGAACCGGAAGUGCGAGAUGCCGACGCCACUACUCAUCCUGCUCUGAUGCUCAUCCUGCUACUGAUUUUUCAGCAGGCGAUAGCGGAACCCAGAGAACUAUGGGGUCUGGUGAAGGCUUGGCCUAUUCCACUCCCGGUGACUGAAACUGCACAUACCUUUCCUGCCUUUUUCUCUACCUAUAGUACACUUAAUCUCCCAUAUCUGCCUUCUGACAGCUCUAUGUGUUGCUGGCAUUUCUUUUCAUAACCUCUCUAAAGCUGCCAAUCUGUCCAGGGAAUUAGGCAAGAUGUUAUCCACCAAUUGGUCCAGUGAGUUUGACGUGCUCACCACUCAGCUAUGGCUAGAAAUAUUGAAUGUUAGUUCCCAAAAGUUAGAGGCGCUGUCUGUAGCUCAGUUUGCUGAAGCCGUGCUAAAUGCCACCAAAGCCUGGUCAGGCAUGGGUGUUCUGUUCCAUGCAACGGCAACAUCGGAAAGUGCGGAUGGCUCUGGUGCAGGCCAUGGCAGCUAUAGAAGAAGGCAUCUCCCCUAGGGUGUAGCACAAUAUGUUGGACCAGUAGUCAAAGACGGGUAAGAUCAGGAGGUACGCAUACCAACCUAAGACAGGGCGCAGACCUUAGCUGUCUGUUGCCCUAUGACGGGUAAGGAUGCUGCGCCUCCCUGACAACCUAAGACAGGCAUGGUCCCCGAGCCUCAUUGUGUUAAAAAACAAAAAAGGGGGAGAUGUAGGGGCUGGCCUAUGGCCGAGGCUGAGUCCCACUAUGGCUGAACACCGCCCUUCCACUCUAGUUGACCAAUGCCCUAAGAUGGCGCACGCUUCCUGGGCGCCACCCUGCCUGGUUUGGUGGCAUUAGCAUAAGGAAGUUGCUCCUAUAGGCUUGCAUGAUCUUGAUCACCAUAGGCCAGCUUCCUUUAUAUAAGGCGUAAGCAGGAAAGAGAAGCACUCUCUCACUCUUUCUCUCUCUCACUCACUCUCACUCUCCCACUCUCUCAAUCUCUGUCUCCCUCUCUCCCCUCAUUCUUCCUCUCAUUCACUCCCCCCGGCUGUUGCUUCUUCUCACUCACCUUCUCCCGGCCUUCCGAGCAACAAUAAAGAACUGAAGUGAA